GUUGGUGCCGAUUGCGGUGAGGGUACACCCGUUCCCAUUCCGAACACGGAAGUUAAGCUCACCUGCGCCGAAGGUACUUGGCUGGAAACGGCCCGGGAGAAUAGGUGGUGCCAACA
RNAcentral lists this ribosomal RNA (116 nucleotides) under Oscillospiraceae bacterium. The record is from RNAcentral. Lineage: Bacteria; Bacillati; Bacillota; Clostridia; Eubacteriales; Oscillospiraceae.